CAAGGAUAAAAUCAAUGAAGAAGUUAUAAUUUUGAGAAACACAACUCCAAAGGAUUUAUGGAUGAGAGACCUUGAUGCUUUUGAGAGCCAACUUGAAAAAUUUGAAGCUGAAGAAAGGGAGGAAAGGCAGAAGUCAACAAGUGAAGUAAAUGGUCAAGGUGGUUUUAGGGUUUCAAGACAAGCACCAAAAAAUCCAAGAAAGUAUAAUAAGACAGGCAAAAAUGCAGUAGCUGCAGAAACCAUGGGA
This 247-nucleotide unclassified non-coding RNA is filed under the name Hevea brasiliensis (rubber tree). Lineage: Eukaryota; Viridiplantae; Streptophyta; Magnoliopsida; Malpighiales; Euphorbiaceae. The record is from RNAcentral.